Molecule: ribosomal RNA, 494 nt
Filed under: uncultured bacterium
Lineage: Bacteria
Description: partial 16S ribosomal RNA
Rfam family: Bacterial small subunit ribosomal RNA
Source: RNAcentral
GACGAACGCUGGCGGCGCGCUUAACACAUGCAAGUCGAACGGAAAGGCCUGCUUUCCCUUGUGGAUUGCGGGUACUCGAGUGGCGAACGGGUGAGUAACACGUGAGUGAUCUGCCCCCAACUUGGGUAUAAGCCUGGGAAACUGGGUCUAAUUCCCGAUAGGACUGCAGGGUGGUGCCUGUGGUGGAAAACGAUUUUCUAGUGGUUGGGGAUGAGCUCGCGGCCUAUCAGCUUGUUGGUGGGGUAAUGGCCUACCAAGGCGGCGACGGGUAGCCGGCCUGAGAGGGUGGACGGCCACAUUGGGACUGAGAUACGGCCCAGACUCCUACGGGAGGCAGCAGUGGGGAAUAUUGCACGAUGGGCGGAAGCCUGAUGCAGCGACGCCGCGUGGGGGAUGACGGCCUUCGGGUGGUAAACUCCUUUCGACCGCGAGGAAGCCGCCUGGUUGGAAGGGUGGUGACGGUAGUGGUAGAAGAAGCACCGGCUAACUACGUG